This 449-nucleotide ribosomal RNA is filed under the name uncultured bacterium. RNAcentral describes it as "partial 16S ribosomal RNA". It matches the Rfam family "Bacterial small subunit ribosomal RNA", at positions 29 to 523 of the family's 1533-position model. The record is from RNAcentral.
AACGAACGCUGGCGGCAUGCCUAACACAUGCAAGUCGAACGAAGCCUUCGGGCUUAGUGGCGCACGGGUGCGUAACGCGUGGGAAUCUGCCCUUUGGUUCGGAAUAACAGUUGGAAACGACUGCUAAUACCGGAUGAUGACGAAAGUCCAAAGAUUUAUCGCCAGAGGAUGAGCCCGCGUAGGAUUAGCUAGUUGGGGUGGUAAAGGCGCACCAAGGCGACGAUCCUUAGCUGGGCUGAGAGGAUGAUCAGCCACACUGGGACUGAGACGCGGGCCAGGCUCCUACGGGAGGCAGCAGUGGGGAAUAUUGGACAAUGGGCGAAAGCCUGAUCCAGCAAUGCCGCGUGAGUGAUGAAGGCCCUAGGGUUGUAAAGCUCUUUUACCCGGGAUGAUAAUAACAGUACCGGGAGAAUAAGCCCCGGCUAACUCCGUGCCAGCCGCCGCCGUAA